GGGUUGUGAGGUUAAGCGACUAAGCGUACACGGUGGAUGCCCUGGCAGUCAGAGGCGAUGAAGGACGUGCUAAUCUGCGAUAAGCGUCGGUAAGGUGAUAUGAACCGUUAUAACCGGCGAUUUCCGAAUGGGGAAACCCAGUGUGUUUCGACACACUAUCAUUAACUGAAUCCAUAGGUUAAUGAGGCGAACCGGGGGAACUGAAACAUCUAAGUACCCCGAGGAAAAGAAAUCAACCGAGAUUCUCCCAGUAGCGGCGAGCGAACGGGGAGCAGCCCAGAGCCUGAAUCAGUGUGUGUGUUAGUGGAAGCGUCUGGAAAGGCGCGCGAUACAGGGUGACAGCCCCGUACACAAAAAUGCACAUGCUGUGAGCUCGAUGAGUAGGGCGGGACACGUGGUAUCCUGUCUGAAUAUGGGGGGACCAUCCUCCAAGGCUAAAUACUCCUGACUGACCGAUAGUGAACCAGUACCGUGAGGGAAAGGCGAAAAGAACCCCGGCGAGGGGAGUGAAAAAGAACCUGAAACCGUGUACGUACAAGCAGUGGGAGCACGCUUAGGCGUGUGACUGCGUACCUUUUGUAUAAUGGGUCAGCGACUUAUAUUCUGUAGCAAGGUUAACCGAAUAGGGGAGCCGAAGGGAAACCGAGUCUUAACUGGGCGUUAAGUUGCAGGGUAUAGACCCGAAACCCGGUGAUCUAGCCAUGGGCAGGUUGAAGGUUGGGUAACACUAACUGGAGGACCGAACCGACUAAUGUUGAAAAAUUAGCGGAUGACUUGUGGCUGGGGGUGAAAGGCCAAUCAAACCGGGAGAUAGCUGGUUCUCCCCGAAAGCUAUUUAGGUAGCGCCUCGUGAAUUCAUCUCCGGGGGUAGAGCACUGUUUCGGCAAGGGGGUCAUCCCGACUUACCAACCCGAUGCAAACUGCGAAUACCGGAGAAUGUUAUCACGGGAGACACACGGCGGGUGCUAACGUCCGUCGUGAAGAGGGAAACAACCCAGACCGCCAGCUAAGGUCCCAAAGUCAUGGUUAAGUGGGAAACGAUGUGGGAAGGCCCAGACAGCCAGGAUGUUGGCUUAGAAGCAGCCAUCAUUUAAAGAAAGCGUAAUAGCUCACUGGUCGAGUCGGCCUGCGCGGAAGAUGUAACGGGGCUAAACCAUGCACCGAAGCUGCGGCAGCGACACUAUGUGUUGUUGGGUAGGGGAGCGUUCUGUAAGCCUGUGAAGGUGUGCUGUGAGGCAUGCUGGAGGUAUCAGAAGUGCGAAUGCUGACAUAAGUAACGAUAAAGCGGGUGAAAAGCCCGCUCGCCGGAAGACCAAGGGUUCCUGUCCAACGUUAAUCGGGGCAGGGUGAGUCGACCCCUAAGGCGAGGCCGAAAGGCGUAGUCGAUGGGAAACAGGUUAAUAUUCCUGUACUUGGUGUUACUGCGAAGGGGGGACGGAGAAGGCUAUGUUGGCCGGGCGACGGUUGUCCCGGUUUAAGCGUGUAGGCUGGUUUUCCAGGCAAAUCCGGAAAAUCAAGGCUGAGGCGUGAUGACGAGGCACUACGGUGCUGAAGCAACAAAUGCCCUGCUUCCAGGAAAAGCCUCUAAGCAUCAGGUAACAUCAAAUCGUACCCCAAACCGACACAGGUGGUCAGGUAGAGAAUACCAAGGCGCUUGAGAGAACUCGGGUGAAGGAACUAGGCAAAAUGGUGCCGUAACUUCGGGAGAAGGCACGCUGAUAUGUAGGUGAAGUCCCUCGCGGAUGGAGCUGAAAUCAGUCGAAGAUACCAGCUGGCUGCAACUGUUUAUUAAAAACACAGCACUGUGCAAACACGAAAGUGGACGUAUACGGUGUGACGCCUGCCCGGUGCCGGAAGGUUAAUUGAUGGGGUUAGCCGCAAGGCGAAGCUCUUGAUCGAAGCCCCGGUAAACGGCGGCCGUAACUAUAACGGUCCUAAGGUAGCGAAAUUCCUUGUCGGGUAAGUUCCGACCUGCACGAAUGGCGUAAUGAUGGCCAGGCUGUCUCCACCCGAGACUCAGUGAAAUUGAACUCGCUGUGAAGAUGCAGUGUACCCGCGGCAAGACGGAAAGACCCCGUGAACCUUUACUAUAGCUUGACACUGAACAUUGAGCCUUGAUGUGUAGGAUAGGUGGGAGGCUUAGAAGUGUGGACGCCAGUCUGCAUGGAGCCGACCUUGAAAUACCACCCUUUAAUGUUUGAUGUUCUAACGUUGACCCGUAAUCCGGGUUGCGGACAGUGUCUGGUGGGUAGUUUGACUGGGGCGGUCUCCUCCUAAAGAGUAACGGAGGAGCACGAAGGUUGGCUAAUCCUGGUCGGACAUCAGGAGGUUAGUGCAAUGGCAUAAGCCAGCUUGACUGCGAGCGUGACGGCGCGAGCAGGUGCGAAAGCAGGUCAUAGUGAUCCGGUGGUUCUGAAUGGAAGGGCCAUCGCUCAACGGAUAAAAGGUACUCCGGGGAUAACAGGCUGAUACCGCCCAAGAGUUCAUAUCGACGGCGGUGUUUGGCACCUCGAUGUCGGCUCAUCACAUCCUGGGGCUGAAGUAGGUCCCAAGGGUAUGGCUGUUCGCCAUUUAAAGUGGUACGCGAGCUGGGUUUAGAACGUCGUGAGACAGUUCGGUCCCUAUCUGCCGUGGGCGCUGGAGAACUGAGGGGGGCUGCUCCUAGUACGAGAGGACCGGAGUGGACGCAUCACUGGUGUUCGGGUUGUCAUGCCAAUGGCACUGCCCGGUAGCUAAAUGCGGAAGAGAUAAGUGCUGAAAGCAUCUAAGCACGAAACUUGCCCCGAGAUGAGUUCUCCCUGACUCCUUGAGAGUCCUGAAGGAACGUUGAAGACGACGACGUUGAUAGGCCGGGUGUGUAAGCGCAGCGAUGCGUUGAGCUAACCGGUACUAAUGAACCGUGAGGCUUAACCUUACAACGCCGAAGGUGUUU
This 2932-nucleotide ribosomal RNA is filed under the name Escherichia coli. RNAcentral describes it as "bacterial LSU rRNA". It matches the Rfam family "Bacterial large subunit ribosomal RNA". Lineage: Bacteria; Pseudomonadati; Pseudomonadota; Gammaproteobacteria; Enterobacterales; Enterobacteriaceae. The record is from RNAcentral.